UGUAAAGAGAGGUAUUACUGAAUUCUAAAACUGGGCUGAUACACAGAAGAUUAGUAUGGCCCAGGAUCAGAAUGACAUACAAAUUCAUGAAGUGUUAUGUAUUUUU
This 106-nucleotide small nuclear RNA is filed under the name Octopus vulgaris (common octopus). The record is from RNAcentral. Lineage: Eukaryota; Metazoa; Mollusca; Cephalopoda; Octopoda; Octopodidae. RNAcentral also lists the same sequence under 1 other name.